GACGAACGCUGGCGGCGUGCUUAACACAUGCAAGUCGAACGAAAAGAGGGAAAGCGCUUGCUCUUUCCGGUAUUGAGUGGCAAACGGGUGAGUAACACGUAAACAACCUGCCUUAAGGAUGGGGACAACAGACGGAAACGACUGCUAAUACCGAAUAAGUUCAACGAACCGCUUGGCCGAUGGAAGAAAAGUUGGCCUCUACUUGUAAGCUAUCGCCUGAAGAGGGGUUUGCGUCUGAGUAGAUUGUUGGAGGGGUCACGGGCUACCAAGGCGACGAUCAGUAGCCGGUCUGAGAGGAGGAACGGCCAAAACGGAACGGAGACACGGGCCCGGCGCCUACGGGGGGCAGCAGUGGGGGAUCUUCCGCAAUGGGCGAAAGCCUGACGGGGCAAAGCCGCGUGGGUGAUGACGGGCUUCGGGUUGUAAAACCCUGGGUUCCGGGACGAAAAGGCAGAGUGCGAAGAACAAAAUGCAUUGACGGUACCGGAAAAGCAAGCCACGGCUAACUACGUG
RNAcentral lists this ribosomal RNA (513 nucleotides) under uncultured bacterium. RNAcentral describes it as "partial 16S ribosomal RNA". It matches the Rfam family "Bacterial small subunit ribosomal RNA", at positions 28 to 507 of the family's 1533-position model. The record is from RNAcentral.